GGUGGAGAAGGACCAGGACGGGGGUCGGAAGUUGACUCCGCAGGGGCAGCGGGACCUGGAUCGCAUCGCAGGGCAGGUCGCCGCCGCCAGCAAGAAGCACUGAGGGAGCCAAUAAACCCUGAACCCCCCUGA
This is a long non-coding RNA of Manacus vitellinus (golden-collared manakin), 132 nucleotides long. RefSeq lists it as uncharacterized. The record is from RefSeq and is a predicted model, not a curated record. NCBI's taxonomy places the organism in Eukaryota, Metazoa, Chordata, Aves, Passeriformes, Pipridae. The transcript has 3 exons.